This 538-nucleotide ribosomal RNA is filed under the name uncultured bacterium. Its description in RNAcentral is "bacterial SSU rRNA". It matches the Rfam family "Bacterial small subunit ribosomal RNA", at positions 9 to 536 of the family's 1533-position model. The record is from RNAcentral.
GAGUUUGAUCCUGGCUCAGAUUGAACGCUGGCGGCAGGCCUAACACAUGCAAGUCGAACGGUAACAGAAAGCAGCUUGCUGCUUUGCUGACGAGUGGCGGACGGGUGAGUAAUGUCUGGGAAACUGCCUGAUGGAGGGGGAUAACUACUGGAAACGGUAGCUAAUACCGCAUAACGUCGCAAGACCAAAGAGGGGGACCUUCGGGCCUCUUGCCAUCGGAUGUGCCCAGAUGGGAUUAGCUUGUUGGUGGGGUAACGGCUCACCAAGGCGACGAUCUCUAGCUGGUCUGAGAGGAUGACCAGCCACACUGGAACUGAGACACGGUCCAGACUCCUACGGGAGGCAGCAGUGGGGAAUAUUGCACAAUGGGCGCAAGCCUGAUGCAGCCAUGCCGCGUGUAUGAAGAAGGCCUUCGGGUUGUAAAGUACUCUCAGCGGGGAGGAAGGGAGUAAAGUUAAUACCUUUGCUCAUUGACGUUACCCGCAGAAGAAGCACCGGCUAACUCCGUGCCAGCAGCCGCGGUAAUACGGAGGGUGCA